UACGAAGGGGGCUAGCGUUGCUCGGAAUCACUGGGCGUAAAGGGUGCGUAGGCGGGUUUUAAGUCAGGGGUGAAAUCCUGGAGCUCAACUCCAGAACUGCCUUUGAUACUGAAGAUCUUGAGUCCGGGAGAGGUGAGUGGAACUGCGAGUGUAGAGGUGGAAUUCGUAGAUAUUCGCAAGAACACCAGUGGCGAAGGCGGCUCACUGGCCCGGUACUGACGCUGAGGCACGAAAGCGUGGGGAGCAAACAGG
RNAcentral lists this ribosomal RNA (252 nucleotides) under uncultured bacterium. Its description in RNAcentral is "partial 16S ribosomal RNA". It matches the Rfam family "Bacterial small subunit ribosomal RNA", at positions 524 to 776 of the family's 1533-position model. The record is from RNAcentral.